AGUUUGAUCCUGGCUCGGACGAACGCUGGCGGCGUGCUUAACACAUGCAAGUCGAGCGAUGAAACACCUUCGGGUGUGAAUUAGCGGCGAACGGGUGAGGAACACGUGAGAAAUCUGCCUUCAACACUGGGAUAACUCCGGGAAACCGGGGCUAAUACCGGAUAUGAAAUCUGCGGGCAUCCGCGGAUUUGGAAAGUUUUUCGGUUGAAGAUGAUCUCGCGGCCUAUCAGCUUGUUGGUGAGGUAAUGGCUCACCAAGGCGACGACGGGUAGCCGGCCUGAGAGGGCGACCGGCCACACUGGGACUGAGACACGGCCCAGACUCCUACGGGAGGCAGCAGUGGGGAAUAUUGGGCAAUGGAGGAAACUCUGACCCAGCGACGCCGCGUGCGGGAUGAAGGCCUUCGGGUUGUAAACCGCUUUCAGCAGGGAAGAAGCGAAAGUGACGGUACCUGCAGAAGAAGCACCGGCUAACUAUGUGCCAGCAGCCGCGGUAAUACAUAGGGUGCAAGCGUUGUCCGGAAUUAUUGGGCGUAAAGAGCUCGUAGGUGGUUCGUCACGUCGGAUGUGAAACUCUGGGGCUUAACCCCAGACCUGCAUUCGAUACGGGCGAGCUUGAGUAUGGUAGGGGAGUCUGGAAUUCCUGGUGUAGCGGUGGAAUGCGCAGAUAUCAGGAGGAACACCAAUGGCGAAGGCAGGACUCUGGGCCAUUACUGACACUGAGGAGCGAAAGCGUGGGGAGCGAACAGGAUUAGAUACCCUGGUAGUCCACGCCGUANACGGUGGGCACUAGUUGUGGGGACCUUCCACGGUCUCUGCGACGCAGCUAACGCAUUAAGUGCCCCGCCUGGGGAGUACGAUCGNCAGAUUAA
This 871-nucleotide ribosomal RNA is filed under the name uncultured bacterium. RNAcentral's name for it is "bacterial SSU rRNA". It matches the Rfam family "Bacterial small subunit ribosomal RNA", at positions 10 to 897 of the family's 1533-position model. The record is from RNAcentral.